Daphnia magna is the source of this 247-nucleotide long non-coding RNA. RefSeq lists it as uncharacterized. The transcript is spliced from 2 exons. The record is from RefSeq and is a predicted model, not a curated record. Lineage: Eukaryota; Metazoa; Arthropoda; Branchiopoda; Diplostraca; Daphniidae.
AGCUUUUCCAUUCGUUCAGCCCGAGUGAGCGAAUGUUCUAGGUUUACAGCGCUCAUGGCGGCAGGUUCAGCAAUCGCAACUGUAAAUACGCUAUAGUAAAAGUCAAUGGUUUUGGUCAAAGUAAAAAAGCGGGCCCUGUUACUAUGAGUAAGUUAACAGUCACGGGACUUAUGACGUGACUGAAAAAACAUCCAAGGUUACAGUUGAAAGUGCCAUAAUCCGUUCAACGACGAAUGCUGCAAUCACU